UAUACACACACGCGCACUAAUUUUUACGUAAAUCCAAUGAUGACGUCUCGCUCAGUCAAAAGCUGUCACGCUUAAUGCCGUUACCAUGGUAAUCGAACUACCCGCGCCAAUUAGAAUUGCUAUUAGAUAUGUGAUUAUUCCGUGACUACCUCCAAAUUCUGUAAUGGCUGCCGAUAGAAUACCGAUAAGGGCUCCAGUAAGUCAUCCUUUUCAUCGAGCAAUACCAUGGAUUCUCCAUUAUUCGGAAGGACUAUCCACGUAACAAUGAAAACUACAACUGCUGCGCUUACCUGUGCCGAAUACCUGUAAUGGAAACGGUGUAUAAGUAAGUGAAUUUAAUUUAGACGAUCAAUCAUGCUUACCUUAUUGCUGUUAAUUCGGUUCGACCAAGUAAUGAACUUGUUAACGAUGGUAUCAUUGACAAAUGUGAAAUCUGUACGGCUGCCCAGCCAAUUUGAAAGAUCACGAUACUUAGUAUGUAAAAGAAUACGAUGACAGAGUUAGGACUAUUAGCGAAUCCUCCAAAAAUCAUAGGAAAACUAAAUGUUACUAAAAUGGAGCCAAUAAUGUGCCAGAUCUUUUUCUUGCAAUAACGGUCGACAAGAAAACCAAAGAUCGGUGUUGUGAAAGCAUCCACAAUUUGACCUUUAAAAUAUAAUGUUUUAAGUAUUAGUUCUUAUUAUAAAAAAAGAUUUAAAAGCUAACUUUUAUUAAUUAUUCUAUUAUUUACCUAAUAACAAUAAUGUCCCAGCCAUUAUUGGCGCCAUUAGAGCAACUUUUUGUAGGUAAAUUAAAGUAUAAGAAAACCACAUGGCUGCUGCCAAAUCAUUGAAAAUAUGUCCCAAAGCGUAUGCCAAUUUGGUUGACAUAAAUACUCUAUUAGUUUCCGUGA
RNAcentral lists this long non-coding RNA (892 nucleotides) under Polistes fuscatus (common paper wasp). Its description in RNAcentral is "uncharacterized LOC122514870, transcript variant X1". Lineage: Eukaryota; Metazoa; Arthropoda; Insecta; Hymenoptera; Vespidae. The record is from RNAcentral.